UUCUUUCUCGUUGGGGUAAUUUCAAAGGUCAGGAGUUAAGGAAAUAAAAAGUUAGAAUCUAAAGGGUUUAGCUAUUAUGUAUAGUUUAUGAGUUGAAGUAAAAGUGAGGUUUAGUGGAUGUAGUGGUUAUGGUUAUGUUUAAUGUUGAGUUAAUAUUAUGGCCUAUAAAUAGGCAGCGUAUCCACUGUAUGUAAGGUGUGUGUCAAGAGUGUAUCAAGUGUGUAUCAAGAGUAUCAAUCUUAUCGAAGUUUGUUUCAAGUAAGUUUGUGUAGGAG
This 275-nucleotide long non-coding RNA is filed under the name Prunus persica (peach). RNAcentral describes it as "long non-coding RNA (PPER_LNC005048)". The record is from RNAcentral. Lineage: Eukaryota; Viridiplantae; Streptophyta; Magnoliopsida; Rosales; Rosaceae.